UAGCCGUAGGUGAACCUGCGGCUGGAUCAUUAUCGAGCUUAACAAAAACACUGAUUGAUAGUGUUCAGGGGCCAGUCUUGAAUACACGGUGCAUUUGAUGGUCGUUUGCUCGGCCGAUGCACGUCGGUGUGCCCCAGUGACUAACGGCAUCCGUUGGCGUCUAUUCACCGCUGAGCAGCUGUGCCUUCGUCCGUGGCUGUGUUGAAGCGGUGGGCUAGCGUAUACGUCCUGGCUCCCUAACCCGGAGUCUUGGGGUAGCGGAUACGUAGACUUAAUGAGCCGUCCGAUAGUACGUGCCGCCAACAACCCAUUUUUCUAACGAUCUUUCUAACUUGAAAAGACAAUAUCAGUCUUACCGGUGGAUCACUCGGUUCGU
Molecule: unclassified non-coding RNA, 376 nt
Filed under: soil metagenome
Description: partial contains small subunit ribosomal RNA, internal transcribed spacer 1, and 5.8S ribosomal RNA
Source: RNAcentral